Astatotilapia calliptera (eastern happy) is the source of this 434-nucleotide long non-coding RNA. The record is from Ensembl. NCBI's taxonomy places the organism in Eukaryota, Metazoa, Chordata, Actinopteri, Cichliformes, Cichlidae.
CUCAAGUGUCAGCCUUAUAAUAAACGAGUUCAAUGCUAAUUCAUCAUCAUCUGAAGAAAGAAAUAACUAUCUUUACAAACAAGACCCGAAAGUUAUUGCUGCAACAUUGAGGGCCUUUCUGAUUUGUCUUAUUGGGAUAAUUCUUUCAGCAGUCGUUGCUUUUUUGGUAACAAAAUCCAACAGAAAAAAAUGGAGGAGGUCUGAAAACCUGGAGACUGUGACUGAAGAAGUUCCAAUGCUGGAUGCUGAUCAAGCAACAGUAUAUGAUGGGAUCCAUGAGCGAGAGGCAGCUGAAGGAGAAACUUAGUCAUGUGAGAACGCAUCGCUGGUGACAAUGAUGACAUUGCACCAAAGACGUGGACAACAUUGACAAUGACGUCAAAACCAGGAAGGAGAGGAGAAACAGAAUAUGUUGAAAUAAAGACAGAAAAAAG